Molecule: ribosomal RNA, 253 nt
Filed under: uncultured bacterium
Lineage: Bacteria
Description: partial 16S ribosomal RNA
Rfam family: Bacterial small subunit ribosomal RNA
Source: RNAcentral
UACGGAGGGAGCUAGCGUUGUUCGGAAUUACUGGGCGUAAAGCGCGCGUAGGCGGAUUUGUAAGUCAGGGGUGAAAUCCCGGGGCUCAACCUCGGAACUGCCUUUGAUACUGCAAAUCUCGAGUCCGGAAGAGGUGAGUGGAAUUCCUAGUGUAGAGGUGAAAUUCGUAGAUAUUAGGAAGAACACCAGUGGCGAAGGCGGCUCACUGGUCCGGUACUGACGCUGAGGUGCGAAAGCGUGGGGAGCAAACAGG